GGGCGAAUCACUCAGUUGGGCUAGAGCCUCCGUUGUGCACCCGGAAGGUCGGAGGUUCGAGUCCCUCUUCGCCCACCG
This 78-nucleotide transfer RNA is filed under the name Aeromicrobium chenweiae. RNAcentral describes it as "Aeromicrobium sp. 592 tRNA-Ala". It matches the Rfam family "tRNA". From Rfam's summary of the family: Transfer RNA (tRNA) molecules are approximately 80 nucleotides in length. Their secondary structure includes four short double-helical elements and three loops (D, anti-codon, and T loops). Further hydrogen bonds mediate the characteristic L-shaped molecular structure. tRNAs have two regions of fundamental functional importance: the anti-codon, which is responsible for specific mRNA codon recognition, and the 3' end, to which the tRNAs corresponding amino acid is attached (by aminoacyl-tRNA synthetases). tRNAs cope with the degeneracy of the genetic code in two manners: having more than one tRNA (with a specific anti-codon) for a particular amino acid; and 'wobble' base-pairing, i.e. permitting non-standard base-pairing at the 3rd anti-codon position. The record is from RNAcentral. Lineage: Bacteria; Bacillati; Actinomycetota; Actinomycetes; Propionibacteriales; Nocardioidaceae.